GGCAGUUUGGCCGAGUGGUCUAAGGCGUCGGUCUCAAGCAUAAUGCUUACAUGAAACAUUCAUGUUCAAUUCCGAUCUCGAAAGAGGCGUGAGUUCAAAUCUCACAGCUGUCA
This is a non-coding RNA of Diaporthe sp. PMI_573, 113 nucleotides long. The record is from the annotation of a GenBank genome assembly. NCBI's taxonomy places the organism in Eukaryota, Fungi, Ascomycota, Sordariomycetes, Diaporthales, Diaporthaceae.